UCCGGGUUGAUCCAACCCGGUCCUGACUGGAAAUUGGAGUGGUAAUAACCCAAGCGGGUUGUGGUAGCAAUACAAGGGGGACGGCUCAGUAACACGUAGUCAACCUAACCUAUGGACGUGGAUAACCUCGGGAAACUGAGAAUAAACCGCGAUAGAUCAUUAUGCCUGGAAUGGCUUAUGGUUCAAACAAUUUAUUGCCGUAGGAUGGGACUGCGGGCCUAUCAGCUUGUUGGUGAGGUAAUGGCCCACCAAGGCUAUAACAGGUACGGGCUCUGAGAGGAGAAGCCCGGAGAUGGGUACUGAGACACGGACCCAGGCCCUAUGGGGCGCAGCAGGCGAGAAACCUUAGCAAUGUGCGAAAGCACGACUAGGUUAAUCCGAGUGAUUUCUGUUGAAGAAAUCUUUUGUCAGUCGUAAAACCACAGACGAAUAAGGGGUGGGCAAGUCUGGUGUCAGCCGCCGCGGUAAUACCAGCACCUCGAGUGGUCAGGAGGUUUAUUGGGCCUAAAGCAUCCGUAGCCGGUUCCGUAGGUCUCCUGCAAAAUCCAGUCGCUCAACGAUUGGCGCGCAGGAGAUACCGCGGGACUAGGAGGCGGGAGAGGUGGACGGUACUCCACGUGUAGGGGUAAAAUCCUUUGAUCCGUGGAAGACCACCAGUGGCGAAGGCGGUUCACCAGAACGCGCUCGACGGUGAGGGAUGAAACGCUGGGGGAGCGAACCGGAUUAGAUACCCGGGUAGUCCCAGCCGUAAACGAUGCGAGCUAGAUGAUCCAGUCGCAAAUCGCGACUGGGGUGUCGCAGGGAAGCCGUUAAGCUCGCAACAUGGGGAGUACGGUCGCAAGACUGAAACUUAAGGCCCUAAAAAAG
This 867-nucleotide ribosomal RNA is filed under the name uncultured archaeon. RNAcentral's name for it is "bacterial SSU rRNA". It matches the Rfam family "Archaeal small subunit ribosomal RNA", at positions 1 to 872 of the family's 1478-position model. The record is from RNAcentral.